UGGGGAAUAUUGCACAAUGGGCGAAAGCCUGAUGCAGCGACGCCGCGUGAGGGAUGACUGCCUUCGGGUUGUAAACCUCUUUCAGCAGGGACGAAGCGCAAGUGACGGUUCCUGCAGAAGAAGCACCGGCUAACUACGUGCCAGCAGCCGCGGUAAUACGUAGGGUGCAAGCGUUGUCCGGAAUUACUGGGCGUAAAGAGUUCGUAGGCGGUUUGUCGCGUCGUUUGUGAAAACCAGCAGCUCAACUGCUGGCUUGCAGGCGAUACGGGCAGACUUGAGUACUGCAGGGGAGACUGGAAUUCCUGGUGUAGCGGUGAAAUGCGGAGAUAUCAGGAGGAACACCGGGGGCGAAGGCGGGUCUCUGGGCAGUAACUGACGCUGAGGAACGAAAGCGUGGGUAGCGAACAGG
Molecule: ribosomal RNA, 409 nt
Filed under: Bacillota bacterium
Lineage: Bacteria; Bacillati; Bacillota
Description: Firmicutes bacterium partial 16S ribosomal RNA
Rfam family: Bacterial small subunit ribosomal RNA
Source: RNAcentral